GAGAGAGAGAGAGAGAGAGAGAAGGAGAGCAGAGGAGAGAGAGAGAGAGAGAGAAGGAGAGCGAGAGAGAGAGAGAGAGAGAGAGAGAGCCAAACAGGCGAGAGAGAGAAGGAGAGCGAGCGAGAGAAGGAGAGAGAGCGAGAGAAGGAGAGAGAGCGAGAGAAGGAGAGAGAGAGAAAGAGAGCGAGAGAAAGAGAGUGAUAGAGAGUGAUAGAAAGAGAAAGAGAGAGAUAGAGAGAGAGAAAGAGAAGGAGAGAGAAGGAGAGAGAAAGAGAAGGAGAGAGAGAGAAAGAGAAGGAGAGAGAAGGAGAGAGAGAGAGCGAUAGAAGGAGAGAGAGAGCGAUAGAAGGAGAGAGAGAGAGAGAGAGAGAGAGAGAGAGAAGGAGAGUUUAGAGA
This 396-nucleotide long non-coding RNA is filed under the name Salmo salar (Atlantic salmon). RNAcentral describes it as "lncRNA (ENSSSAG00000086778.1, ENSSSAG00000107525.1)". The record is from RNAcentral. Lineage: Eukaryota; Metazoa; Chordata; Actinopteri; Salmoniformes; Salmonidae.